AGGACGAACGCUGGCGGCGUGCUUAACACAUGCAAGUGGAGCGACGAACCAGGGCUUGCCCUGGGGCAGAGCCGCGAACGGGUGAGUAACACGUGGGUAACGUGCCCCGAUGACUGGGACAACCCGGGGAAACCCGGGCUAAUACCGGAUAUGCCCCCUCACGCGAGUGAGGUGUGUAAAGGAAGCUUCGGCCUCCGCAUCGGGAUCGGCCCGCGGCCCAUUAGCUUGUUGGUGGGGUAACGGCUCACCAAGGCUGCGAUGGGUAGCUGGUCUGAGAGGACGAUCAGCCACACUGGGACUGAGACACGGCCCAGACUCCUACGGGAGGCAGCAGUGGGGAAUCUUGCGCAAAUGCGCGAAAAGCGUGACGCAGCAAACGCCGCGUGGGGGAAGAAAGGCCUCGGUGCGAAACCCUUCCACGUUGGGUACGGAAGGUA
Molecule: ribosomal RNA, 437 nt
Filed under: uncultured soil bacterium
Lineage: Bacteria
Description: bacterial SSU rRNA
Rfam family: Bacterial small subunit ribosomal RNA
Source: RNAcentral